RNAcentral lists this ribosomal RNA (502 nucleotides) under uncultured bacterium. RNAcentral describes it as "partial 16S ribosomal RNA". It matches the Rfam family "Bacterial small subunit ribosomal RNA", at positions 30 to 523 of the family's 1533-position model. The record is from RNAcentral.
AUUGAACGCUGGCGGAAUGCUUUACACAUGCAAGUCGAACGGCAGCACGGGAGCUUGCUCCUGGUGGCGAGUGGCGAACGGGUGAGUAACAUAUCGGAACGUAUCCAAUAAUGGGGGAUAACUAAGCGAAAGCUUGGCUAAUACCGCAUACGCCCUGAGGGGGAAAGCUAGGGAUCUUCGGACCUGGCGUUAAUGGAGCGGCCGAUAUCUGAUUAGCUAGUUGGUGAGGUAAAGGCUCACCAAGGCGACGAUCAGUAGCUGGUCUGAGAGGACGACCAGCCACACUGGAACGGAGACACGGUCCAGACUCCUACGGGAGGCAGCAGUGGGGAAUUUUGGACAAUGGGCGCAAGCCUGAUCCAGCCAUUCCGCGUGAGUGAAGAAGGCCUUCGGGUUGUAAAGCUCUUUCGCAAGGGAAGAAAGAUUACGCUCUAACAUAGCGUGAUUAUGACGGUACCUUGAUAAGAAGCACCGGCUAACUACGUGCCAGCCGCCGCAGUAA